This 133-nucleotide ribosomal RNA is filed under the name uncultured bacterium. Its description in RNAcentral is "partial 16S ribosomal RNA". The record is from RNAcentral.
AAGGUACCGUCAAAUCAGAGCAAUAUUAGUACUCAUCUCUUCUUCCCAAUUGAAAGCGGUUUACAACCCAAGGCCUUCUUCCCGCACGCGGCGUCGCUGCAUCAGGCUUUCGCCCAUUGUGCAAUAUUCCCCA